Pygocentrus nattereri (red-bellied piranha) is the source of this 594-nucleotide long non-coding RNA. RefSeq lists it as uncharacterized. Lineage: Eukaryota; Metazoa; Chordata; Actinopteri; Characiformes; Serrasalmidae. The record is from RefSeq and is a predicted model, not a curated record. The transcript is spliced from 2 exons.
CACACCUGUGCACACAUAUACACACAAAGAGCUCAGUUACCUGCACAGGCGGACUUAAGCAGAUUAUGGCUCCACUCUCCAGACAGUAGACAUCGCGCCUCUGCAUUGCCCUGUAGACGGUAACCACGGCGGCAGGAGACUCGACCUGGACUCUCCUUGGCUCUGACCACACUUCUCCUGUCCCACACACCUGCAGUUCCUUUUGGACUCAUUAAAAUCGCUUUGUUUCCACCACGUGUUUGAGAAGACUCUGUGUUUGUCACUUGAGUUGUGCUAUUGUGCUUGGUUUUCCUUGGUUUUGAUCCCUGUUACUCUCUUCGUUGUUUCUGAAUAUGGAUAUCCAGCUUUCCCCCUCCCUGCUUGUGUGUUAAUGAAUACUGAAAUGCCCCUAAUAAAGUCACUUCACGCUUGCAACCUGCCUGAGCCCCACAUUACAGUUCAUCACUAUUAUGCUUUGUAUGUACAUGAAUACUUUUGUUACUUUGAUGAAUUGAAUGUGAAUUUUAUUUUGUUUAGUUAAACCAUCCUUAUGCUCCUCUCAACCUUUCUUUAUUAUCAUGAAUGACAUCCUAAUAAAUGGUCACCCUAUCAGGA